ACACAUGCAAGUCGAACGAAGCUUGACGAAUGAUUUCUUCGGAAUGAAAUCUGAUAUGACUGAGUGGCGGACGGGUGAGUAACGCGUGAGCAACCUGCCCUUCGGAACGGGAUAGUGUCUGGAAACGGACAGUAAUACCGUAUAACGUAUUUUUACCGCAUGAUAGAAAUACCAAAACUGAGGUGCCGAAGGAUGGGCUCGCGUCUGAUUAGAUAGUUGGUGGGGUAACGGCCUACCAAGUCGACGAUCAGUAGCCGGACUGAGAGGUUGAACGGCCACAUUGGGACUGAGACACGGCCCAGACUCCUACGGGAGGCAGCAGUGGGGAAUAUUGCACAAUGGGGGAAACCCUGAUGCAGCAACGCCGCGUGAAGGAAGACGGUUUUCGGAUUGUAAACUUCUGUUCUUAGUGAAGAAUAAUGACGGUAGCUAAGGAGCAAGCCACGGCUAACUACGUGCCAGCAGCCGCGGUAAUACGUAGGUGGCAAGCGUUGUCCGGAAUUACUGGGUGUAAAGGGAGCGUAGGCGGGAUGCCAAGUCAGCUGUGAAAACUAUGGGCUUAACCUGUAGACUGCAGUUGAAACUGGUAUUCUUGAGUGAAGUAGAGGUUGGCGGAAUUCCGAGUGUAGCGGUGAAAUGCGUAGAUAUUCGGAGGAACACCGGUGGCGAAGGCGGCCAACUGGGCUUUAACUGACGCUGAGGCUCGAAAGUGUGGGGAGCAAACAGGAUUAGAUACCCUGGUAGUCCACACUGUAAACGAUGAUAACUAGGUGUGGGGGGUCUGACCCCUUCCGUGCCGCAGCUAACGCAAUAAGUUAUCCACCUGGGG
This 829-nucleotide ribosomal RNA is filed under the name uncultured bacterium. RNAcentral's name for it is "bacterial SSU rRNA". It matches the Rfam family "Bacterial small subunit ribosomal RNA", at positions 51 to 878 of the family's 1533-position model. The record is from RNAcentral.